RNAcentral lists this ribosomal RNA (491 nucleotides) under Staphylococcus aureus. Its description in RNAcentral is "bacterial SSU rRNA". It matches the Rfam family "Bacterial small subunit ribosomal RNA", at positions 1031 to 1522 of the family's 1533-position model. The record is from RNAcentral. Lineage: Bacteria; Bacillati; Bacillota; Bacilli; Caryophanales; Staphylococcaceae.
GUGACAGGUGGUGCAUGGUUGUCGUCAGCUCGUGUCGUGAGAUGUUGGGUUAAGUCCCGCAACGAGCGCAACCCUUAAGCUUAGUUGCCAUCAUUAAGUUGGGCACUCUAAGUUGACUGCCGGUGACAAACCGGAGGAAGGUGGGGAUGACGUCAAAUCAUCAUGCCCCUUAUGAUUUGGGCUACACACGUGCUACAAUGGACAAUACAAAGGGCAGCGAAACCGCGAGGUCAAGCAAAUCCCAUAAAGUUGUUCUCAGUUCGGAUUGUAGUCUGCAACUCGACUACAUGAAGCUGGAAUCGCUAGUAAUCGUAGAUCAGCAUGCUACGGUGAAUACGUUCCCGGGUCUUGUACACACCGCCCGUCACACCACGAGAGUUUGUAACACCCGAAGCCGGUGGAGUAACCUUUUAGGAGCUAGCCGUCGAAGGUGGGACAAAUGAUUGGGGUGAAGUCGUAACAAGGUAGCCGUAUCGGAAGGUGCGGCUGGA